UUUGAUCCUGGCUCAGAGUGAACGCUGGCGGCGUGCUCAACACAUGCAAGUCGAACGAGAACGGGUCUAGCUUGCUAGACUGUCAGCUAAGUGGCGGACGGGUGAGUAAUGUAUAGUUAAUCUGCCCUUUAGAGGGGGAUAACAGUUGGAAACGACUGCUAAUACCCCAUACUCCUUUUACCUUAAUGGUAAUUGGGAAACGUUUUUUCGCUAAAGGAUGAGACUAUAUGGUAUCAGGCAGUUGGUGGGGUAAGAGCCUACCAAGCCAAUGACGCCUAGCUGGUCUGAGAGGAUGAUCAGCCGGACUGGAACUGAGACACGGUCCAGACUCCUAAAGGGAGGCAGCAGUGGGGAAUAUUGCACAAUGGACGAAAACUCUGAUGCAGCACCCCCGCGUGGAGGAUGACGCCGUUCGGAGUGUAAACUGCUUUUAUUUCNAAAGGAUACUGACAGUACCAUA
RNAcentral lists this ribosomal RNA (460 nucleotides) under uncultured bacterium. RNAcentral's name for it is "bacterial SSU rRNA". It matches the Rfam family "Bacterial small subunit ribosomal RNA", at positions 12 to 465 of the family's 1533-position model. The record is from RNAcentral.